GGAGAAGAGUUGGUUUCCAAGUAAAAUUACAAUUACCCCCAUCAAAGGUGUGCUGUCAAAUUUCGAAAAAAACCUAAUUGAAGCCCAACGUCAAAUACUGUAGAAUACGUGUUUCUCCCACUUCUUGGAAUGUGAGGAAAUCGUUGUCCAAUUUCAGUUGAUGCAUUAUUUUUCUGUUGAGAUGGGUGCAACAACCUAAUGACAGUGAGCUAUGGUUUAACAUAGUCGGAAGAUUUGUAAA
RNAcentral lists this long non-coding RNA (241 nucleotides) under Olea europaea (common olive). Its description in RNAcentral is "long non-coding RNA (OEUR_LNC014490)". Lineage: Eukaryota; Viridiplantae; Streptophyta; Magnoliopsida; Lamiales; Oleaceae. The record is from RNAcentral.